AAUAUGUCCAUCCCAUUGCAACGGGAUACCGUUUUGCAGCAGCCCUCUUUUAUUUAUAAUUUUUUAUGAUUAGUAUUUUUAUUGUUAUUAGAUGAUAAGACAUAAAUAGUACUUUAUGAUGCCUGACUUGUGUUUUUUUAAUUUUUUCUAAAAAAUUUUUAAAUAAGAUAGAUGAUCAAACUUAGACACGAAAACUCAUGGCUACGUUUAAA
Molecule: non-coding RNA, 212 nt
Organism: Oryza glumipatula
Lineage: Eukaryota; Viridiplantae; Streptophyta; Magnoliopsida; Poales; Poaceae
Source: Rfam